CGGGUGAGUAACACGUGGGCAAUCUGCCCUGCACUCUGGGACAAGCCCUGGAAACGGGGUCUAAUACCGGAUAUUGACCUUCACGGGCAUCUGUGAGGUUCGAAAGCUCCGGCGGUGCAGGAUGAGCCCGCGGCCUAUCAGCUUGUUGGUGAGGUAAUGGCUCACCAAGGCGACGACGGGUAGCCGGCCUGAGAGGGCGACCGGCCACACUGGGACUGAGACACGGCCCAGACUCCUACGGGAGGCAGCAGUGGGGAAUAUUGCACAAUGGGCGAAAGCCUGAUGCAGCGACGCCGCGUGAGGGAUGACGGCCUUCGGGUUGUAAACCUCUUUCAGCAGGGAAGAAGCGAAAGUGACGGUACCUGCAGAAGAAGCGCCGGCUAACUACGUGCCAGCAGCCGCGGUAAUACGUAGGGCGCAAGCGUUGUCCGGAAUUAUUGGGCGUAAAGAGCUCGUAGGCGGCUUGUCACGUCGGUUGUGAAAGCCCGGGGCUUAACCCCGGGUCUGCAGUCGAUACGGGCAGGCUAGAGUUCGGUAGGGGAGAUCGGAAUUCCUGGUGUAGCGGUGAAAUGCGCAGAUAUCAGGAGGAACACCGGUGGCGAAAGCGGAUCUCUGGGCCGAUACUGACGCUGAGGAGCGAAAGCGUGGGGAGCGAACAGGAUUAGAUACCCUGGUAGUCCACGCCGUAAACGGUGGGCACUAGGUGUGGGCAACAUUCCACGUUGUCCGUGCCGCAGCUAACGCAUUAAGUGCCCCGCCUGGGGAGUACGGCCGCAAGGCUUAAACUCAAAGGAAUUGACCGCGGCCCGCACAAGCGGCGGAGCAUGUGG
This 830-nucleotide ribosomal RNA is filed under the name Streptomyces olivaceus. RNAcentral describes it as "bacterial SSU rRNA". It matches the Rfam family "Bacterial small subunit ribosomal RNA", at positions 103 to 944 of the family's 1533-position model. The record is from RNAcentral. Lineage: Bacteria; Bacillati; Actinomycetota; Actinomycetes; Kitasatosporales; Streptomycetaceae.